This 102-nucleotide signal recognition particle RNA is filed under the name Frigoribacterium sp. PhB107. RNAcentral's name for it is "Bacterial small signal recognition particle RNA". It matches the Rfam family "Bacterial small signal recognition particle RNA". Rfam says of the family: The signal recognition particle (SRP) is a universally conserved ribonucleoprotein involved in the co-translational targeting of proteins to membranes. Archaeal SRP consists of a 7S RNA and homologues of the eukaryotic SRP19 and SRP54 proteins. RNAcentral also lists the same sequence under 1 other name. The record is from RNAcentral. Lineage: Bacteria; Bacillati; Actinomycetota; Actinomycetes; Micrococcales; Microbacteriaceae.
CUGGAGGCUCCUCACGUGGCGCCAUCCAGGCCAACUCCCCCAGGGCGGAAACGCAGCAAGGGCAACCGGGCUCUGGCGGGUGCGUGAGGGGUCUCUACUUUU